GGUAUGUUCCCUCAGUUUGCCUAUUAUUGAAAGUCCUUAUGUAUACAUGUAUAAGGCAUAUAGAACUUUUAUUUUACCUUUGUGGAGAUCGGCGUUUUACUGGCCGUUUUUAUGUCCCAAAGGAGAUAUAUUUAUUGAUCAGGUGUUGGGUUUACAUUACCUACUCACAAAGCUAUUUUUUUAUUUGGUAGAGGGAAUACAUCGGCUUUUGGUAUAUGGAUUAACCAUUUACGGUGUUGGCUAUUAGAAUGGAGUUUAGGGUGACAUUAAAUUAACUAGUAUUAACUUGGUGAUAGUUUUCAUGUAUUGGGGUGUUCAGAAACGAUAUUGCUUUGUCUAGUCCUGUAUGUAUCUGCAUACUAUAGUAUAGAGGGGUGCACUCGAUUACUGGUGUAGAUUCUACAACAGAUUCUCAAUUAGUGAAAUAUGUUUUUGAGGAUGUUGAAAAGAAAUUAGGCCCACAAAUCUGGAAGGAAGAGCCGAUGAGUUAUUACAGGAUGCGUAUAAUAAGUUAUUUUGUGUAUAUAAUCGUUUUUACACAACGUACCAUUGGUGCGUGUAUAUUGGGAUAUCUAUGUUUUAAGUGUAUCAGAAUUGUUGAAUCUGCGUUAUUAUGCAAUUAAUUGCAAGUCAAUACACAUUUCAAUUUGUAUCGGAAGAACGGAUAUUUACAGAGAUGGAAACUGGUUUAUUAUUGUGAAAAACGCACAAAUUUGCGUCCAGUCCUAAUUUGGAAUUAUAUAUGCAUAGAGUAGCAUUUAAUCUGAUUAAAAUUUGUAUUCAUUCAGGAAUUGUCACAAGUGAAAGAACUUUUUGUUUUUCGUUCAACAAAUUAGCCUUUAAACUAUACAAGGAUGAGGGAAUUUACUUUGAUGCAAUUUUCUCCAUUUGUUACCGAUAUAAAAGCAUACGGAUUAUAUAGUUUACAAUCUUGUGGUGCUAUUACCGCUGCAAGGUUUGGUUUUUCAGAUAGACUUUUUAAACGUCAUGGACGUUGGAAGUCGGAAACUUCAAAGGAUGGCUAUGUGAAAGAAGAUUUAUCAAAACGUAGGAUUGUUUCUCAGAAUUUGGGAAAUGAAUAUCUUUUUUGUUUUAUUUAUAUUUGGACUAUAUAAUUUUGCAUACAUAGUACUAAAUAGCUUCCCGUUCUUUGGGUUCAGCAUCGGCGUUGUCGUGCGACUAUCCACUUUACAAAGUCUUUGGUAUUUAUUAUAGCCUUUUAUGGCGUUUAUAUGCAGAGUGUGUAAAUAUAUAUACUUGGAUAUUUGGUACAAGUAUUGGUUAUACUUGGAUAUUUGGUACAAGUAUUGAUUAUACUUGGAUAUUUUGUACAAGUAUUGAUUAUACUUGUUUAUUUGGUGCAAGUAUUGGUUUUAUGUCUACAUUGAUGGGUGGUUUAUACCAGGAGAAUUAUAAUUUCAUUCGUUUAUACGGGCAGUGCAUUAGAGUGAAAUUAAUUUCUCCUGGGUGUUUCAUCAUAUGUAGCAUAGAGGGCGUAAUGUUUUCCCGCUUCAAAAUUAUUUUCGCGGUAUUUUAUUGCCUAUGUUAUCAUUCAGCACGACAUCGUCAAUCUGAGCAGUCGAAUUUUCUUGGUAAAUUUUAAUUCUGGUUAAAGUUUAUUAAGCUUUUUAUUUGGAGAGUUUUUUGUGUCGAUACUGAUGUUUGAGUUAUAUAUUAUAUGUGUAGAUAUAUAUGUAUGUAUUGAGAUUAUUUAUCAUUAAAUAUAGAGCAUCGGCGUUGUCGUGCGACUAUC
This is a long non-coding RNA of Mytilus trossulus (common blue mussel), 1753 nucleotides long. RefSeq lists it as uncharacterized. The transcript is spliced from 2 exons. The record is from RefSeq and is a predicted model, not a curated record. Lineage: Eukaryota; Metazoa; Mollusca; Bivalvia; Mytilida; Mytilidae.